GAUGAACGCUGGCGGCGUGCCUAAUACAUGCAAGUCGAGCGAACGGACGAGAAGCUUGCUUCUCUGAUGUUAGCGGCGGACGGGUGAGUAACACGUGGAUAACCUACCUAUAAGACUGGGAUAACUUCGGGAAACCGGAGCUAAUACCGGAUAAUAUUUUGAACCGCAUGGUUCAAAAGUGAAAGACGGUCUUGCUGUCACUUAUAGAUGGAUCCGCGCUGCAUUAGCUAGUUGGUAAGGUAACGGCUUACCAAGGCAACGAUGCAUAGCCGACCUGAGAGGGUGAUCGGCCACACUGGAACUGAGACACGGUCCAGACUCCUACGGGAGGCAGCAGUAGGGAAUCUUCCGCAAUGGGCGAAAGCCUGACGGAGCAACGCCGCGUGAGUGGUGAAGGUCUUCGGAUCGUAAAACUCUGUUAUUAGGGAAGAACAUAUGUGUAAGUAACUGUGCACAUCUUGACGGUACCUAAUCAGAAAGCCACGGCUAACUACGUGCCAGCAGCCGCGGUAAUACGUAGGUGGCAAGCGUUAUCCGGAAUUAUUGGGCGUAAAGCGCGCGUAGGCGGUUUUUUAAGUCUGAUGUGAAAGCCCACGGCUCAACCGUGGAGGGUCAUUGGAAACUGGAAAACUUGAGUGCAGAAGAGGAAAGUGGAAUUCCAUGUGUAGCGGUGAAAUGCGCAGAGAUAUGGAGGAACACCAGUGGCGAAGGCGACUUUCUGGUCUGUAACUGACGCUGAUGUGCGAAAGCGUGGGGAUCAAACAGGAUUAGAUACCCUGGUAGUCCACGCCGUAAACGAUGAGUGCUAAGUGUUAGGGGGUUUCCGCCCCUUAGUGCUGCAGCUAGCGCAUUAAGCACUCCGCCUGGGGAGUACGACCGCAAGGUUGAAACUCAAAGGAAUUGACGGGGACCCGCACAAGCGGUGGAGCAUGUGGUUUAAUUCGAAGCAACGCGAAGAACCUUACCAAAUCUUGACAUCCUUUGACAACUCUAGAGAUAGAGCCUUCCCCUUCGGGGGACAAAGUGACAGGUGGUGCAUGGUUGUCGUCAGCUCGUGUCGUGAGAUGUUGGGUUAAGUCCCGCAACGAGCGCAACCCUUAAGCUUAGUUGCCAUCAUUAAGUUGGGCACUCUAAGUUGACUGCCGGUGACAAACCGGAGGAAGGUGGGGAUGACGUCAAAUCAUCAUGCCCCUUAUGAUUUGGGCUACACACGUGCUACAAUGGACAAUACAAAGGGCAGCGAAACCGCGAGGUCAAGCAAAUCCCAUAAAGUUGUUCUCAGUUCGGAUUGUAGUCUGCAACUCGACUACAUGAAGCUGGAAUCGCUAGUAAUCGUAGAUCAGCAUGCUACGGUGAAUACGUUCCCGGGUCU
Molecule: ribosomal RNA, 1372 nt
Filed under: uncultured bacterium
Lineage: Bacteria
Description: bacterial SSU rRNA
Rfam family: Bacterial small subunit ribosomal RNA
Source: RNAcentral